Molecule: long non-coding RNA, 1928 nt
Organism: Dreissena polymorpha
Lineage: Eukaryota; Metazoa; Mollusca; Bivalvia; Myida; Dreissenidae
Exons: 5
Source: RefSeq, a predicted model, not a curated record
UUGGACUCAAACUCAGACUUUGACUCAGGCUUAGACUUACUAAAGACAGACUCAGGAUUCGUAUUCACGAACGCAUUUGGAAAUAGACUUCAAUAAGAUUGUGUUUUUUUAAUGACGUCACGACUAAGCGAACUCUCUAGUAGGGAAAACGCGCCAAAUAGUGUCAAAAAUAGUAGCGGACAUGUUUGCUAUAACUUAUUGAAUGGAGUGUUUGGCAGUUGAAGACAGCGAAACGAAGCGCCAGCAGGUCCAGAUUGGUCCGAGCCAGAGAUUGUUUUUAAUGCGCUGGUUCGGGACCGCUGGAACCUUCUAUCCGCGAGUAUAAGGGGAUCGGAGCCGAAAAGAUUUUGGUUAUUCGAAGAAAAAAAUGGGACGAGGUGGCGAGUAGAAUAUCAAUAAAAUUUGGGGUCGCAAAAACUGGUGAACAGUGCCAGAAGAAGAACCAAAAUUCCAAGGCUCGGUCUUCUUCAUAUGCGUUACAAAGCAGUGAGCGUGCCACAACAGCCAGCAGUGAAGAACAUAUGAGUGUACCAGUCAUGAAAGUAGAGGCAUUAAGUGUAAAGAAUCGCUCACAAAGAAGAACGACAAGAGAUCACAAGCCGAUACCUUAACAAAACUUACAGAGAAACCGAUGGGAAAUAACUAAGAAAAAUUAGAAUAAGAAAUAAAAAAGUUGACUGUAGAAAUUGAAAUAAUACAUUUGGAGAAAAAGAUGUGUUUAGUGUCAAUACGUGACCAAGUGCUAUAACUCUGACAUGUAAUAUACUAGUAGUAGAUUUAUUCGCCUUUUUGUAAUUAAAAGGAUCUUAUUAUUUUUUGUGCAACUACUUCAUAACUCUAUUAUUUCUAAAAUAGAUAGUCUAUAUUAGAAAUAAUAGUUAUGGGGCAGUUGCACACAAAAUAAUAAGAUUUUUUUUUUAUUCAAAAAGGGGCAUACUAUUAUUUCUAUGAUAAAAAUAUGAUUCUAUCCCUUUUUGUACUUAUAAAAUUCCAGUCAAUAUUUGUGUGCUUUAAGAAAUGUAGGUUAAAUAUUACAUUGGUCAUUGUAUUAUGUUACUGACAUAUAAAAUACAUUCUACAUUCAAAGAGGAAUAUUAGUUGAAUGCGGUGUCUUGGGACACUUCUUGAUAUUAUUUGCUUACAAGAUAUCCAUCAUUGAUAAUAAUAAAAUUCUUCAUUCAAUUAACUGAAUGAAAUUCCAGAAUAAUGGUAGAUACAGUUAUGUGAAUUUGAAAUUAGACAUCAACAAAUCCUGGCAUCAUGCUUUCGCCCUGGCCAACUGGCAGUGAACUUGAGUGAAGCUCGUUAUUCUGUAGCUGGCAUCAUACACAGCCUGUUAACAUAAAACAUGUUAUAUUACACUAACAAAAUAAGACAUAUUUUUGUAUUUUUUUUCUUAGGUAUUUGAUAAAAUGCUGAUAAAAUGUUUCUUAUUUUGCUAAUGGCAAACUGUUAAAAUUAACAUACAGUUGUUUCAUUAAAUAUUUGUGUUUAAAAUAAAGUUGUAUCAAAUAAAAAGGAUUGCAUUUAGACUUGCACAUAACUGACUGUUAAGCCAUACCUGAACGUUGAUGGUGGGAACGCCCUUUCGCCAUAUGUAGCCUUCUACAUGGUUUACUGGCUUCUUGAUAUGCACAUGCGUCCAAUCGAUGCACCCCAAAGUACUUGUAAAACCUGAAAGUUGAUCAUUUAAAAUUGACCCAUUUUUUGUAAAAAUUACAAUAUUAAUAAGUAAAUAGAUAUUGAUAUAAAUGGAUUAUGAUCGGUGCAUUUAUGUGCAUUAUAUUGAAUGAAAGUUCUGCCUUAUGUCAGAAGUGAUGCAAUAUGCUGAUGUGUCUUAACUUGAUAAUCAAAUUUAAUGUCAUCGUUUUACUAUUGAUUGAAAAUGCAAUAAUAUGUGCAUUUGAGAAUAAAAUAUUAUUCCUGUU